This 3479-nucleotide long non-coding RNA is filed under the name Mytilus galloprovincialis (Mediterranean mussel). The record is from RNAcentral. Lineage: Eukaryota; Metazoa; Mollusca; Bivalvia; Mytilida; Mytilidae.
UAACAAAAUUAACUUUAUUAAAGAUAUAACAAGCACUUAUCAAAUCAUGUAUAUAUAGUGCAUAAAUUAUAUAAUGUACAUUUGUCAGUUGUAUAAAGUUAUAUCAAAAUUUUGAUUUUAUACAUGGUAUUUAUAAACAUGAUUAUAUCAAAAUUAUAUUUAAUAAUUUGCAAGUUUUAAUUUUUAAAUUUAAGUCUCAACUAUAUUAUAUCAAAAACAAUACAUUUUUUGUACCAUCAAGACAAAGUGAGAAAGUAGGUUACAACAUGGAAAUUGUUAGAAUUGGAAUGUUAUUAAAAAUACACUCUUCAUUGAACCAAAACAUUUAAAGGAAUUUAAAUAUACAGCUGACUUCUUAAAAAGUCAAUGUCAUACUGGUAUUAUCUUCCAAAAAAGUCAAAAUAUUUCUACUUCAUUCUUUAAUAUUAGUAAUAGACUACAUAUGUUAUACUGUACUACUGACAGGUGUAUCUAAGUACAUACAAACUAUUUAAUGGUAAAUGUUAAAUUGAUAUAUAAAAUUACAAAGUAGUACAAAAAUAUAGUGUAUCACAAAUAUUAUCACUUUGUAGUGUGUGUAUACAAUAUAAUGGUUCAUCAAUGAAAGCACUAAUCACAAUAACAUAUCCACCAAGUGAUAAUAUACAGUUUAAAGCAAUGUUAUAGUUAUUUGGUAGAUAUUAUGAGAAUUUAAACUAUUAGCUCCAAAGAUCAUGUAUCAUUCACCUGGAGUUGGUUUCACCAAAAAAAUGAUGACCAAGAUUGUCUUAGGUGAAUUGAAUUGUUCAUGACUUUUGAUUAAUCUUAAUCUUAAGUUUUUUUUGUGAAACGACUCCUGUCUUAAAUAGUACAGCCUAAUGGGUUCUAUUUAAAUCAAGGUUAUUUCCAAAAUAAUAAUAUUUGGACAUAUCACACAAUUAUGCUCUUCAACUUUGUACUUGUUUGGCUUUAUAACUAUUUUGAUCUGAGCGUCACUGAUGAGUCUUAUGUAGACGAAAUGUGCGUCUGGCGUAUUAAAUUAUAAUCCUGGUACCUUUGAUAACUAAUUAUAUAUAUAAUACUGUCUCAAAUAGAAGAUAAUAUUUCUUAAGGGCUUAGAAACAGAAAGUAUUUGUAUACAAAUAGUGGGGAUUCCCUAUACGAAUGUCGAAUGGUCAUCUUUUAAGUACAUGACUGUAUAGAAAAAAAAGUCAGUGGAUGACCCAGAAAUUUUCAUAAGAGAGGGCCCACUGACUGCCUAGAAAAAAAAGAUGAAAUGAAAGAAUGAAAUUGAAGGCAUCAUAAACAAAGAUGUGCAGUCAAUACAUAUAUAAACAUGGAUGAACUCAACAAAAAUGUGUUUUCUUUUAACAAUGAUGAAAAGAUCAGCAGCAAUAAAUAUAAUAAACAUAGUAAACAUAGUAACAAAAUAAUGACAGUAAUUGACAUAAUGUACACACUAAUCUCAUACACAACCAAGAAUAACAUUUCAAGCAAUAGAAACAAUGAACACAUAGAUCAGAGAGAUCAGCUGCAGGUUAAUAGUUUAUGUGUUCUUUGUUUAUAUAUUUGUAUUAAGGUUUUCUACUCCUCUUUAAAAAAAAAAAAGGUAUACUCUGGGGCAUAUUUAUCUGGUCAUGGACCCUAAGACUCAUCAUGAUUAUAUAAAAUAUUAAUCAAGGCUUUAAAGUAAGAGUAGCACAAAUUCAAGAUAUUGCAAUAUUAUACAUUUUCGCAGUAAAGAAUGAAUUAUUUUUUCAUCAAAAUAUACUGCUGUUUUAUUGCUUUUCCCAAUAAAACAAAACUAUGAUCUCUAUUUGUGAUGCACACCAUUUAAUAGAUUAUAUAUGAUAUUUUUCUGUUAAUAAGUCACAAGACUGCAGUUUUCACUACAUAUCUGUUUGUAAAACUUAAAAGAUGAAACAUCAGGUUCAACUAUGAAACUUAUUAAUUGAUAUAUAUUUUUUUUCUAUAAGUUGAAAAUCUUUUUUCAUAGUUGUUGGGGAAAAUUUUGAUGUUUGUCUAAUACAUGAACCAAUCUGAUCGAAAACUACUUUCUCCUGGUUUUUUUUGGUGACAUUACAUAUAUAUAAAGAUCAAUGCAGUUAUUUAGUAUAUCUAAACCUAAAAAAACAUGAACAAAUAUAUUUAGUCUGGAAUAAUAAGGACUCCACAAUACAAAGUAUAUUCUGUUAAUAAAAAAAGAUACAAAAUCACACAAAUAUUGUAUUAAAGCAAGCAUUUUAUUAUAUAUUAUGGCUUGAUAGCAUGAAAAAUCUAAAUAAAUGGCAUAAGAAAAGUAUAAGAAAACCAAAAUAUCACAUUAUAUGGGUGAAUAAGAUGAAUAUCAUUGCAAAUUGAUUAAUAAUGUUUCUUAACUUUGAGCUGAUCAUUAGUAUUAUAUAUUUUAACAGAAAUGAAAACUAUAACUACAAAUCUAUAAAGAUUUUGACUGUUUUGUUGGAUUCUAUAUUGGUAUAGGUAUAACUUCAUGCAAAAUAUAAGUGCAAGUUAUAGAUUGUGUUACCCUCUUUAUCUAAAAAAUACAAGUCUUGUAAAGCAAAUUUGAAUCAAUUGAUAAUGACCAUGCUUCAUACCCUUUUAACUAGCUUAUUUGUGGAUGGUAGUAACAUUUUAACACUUGGAAGUAAGUAUCUGUAUAGUUAAAAUCAAACUUAAGUUCCUUGAAAUAUAACACCCUUUUCCAACAUACAUAUGAUGGUCAUAUCCAUGAGUAUCCUAAAUGGUGAAUAUGAACUUAUAUAUAUAUAUAAUACCCUAAUACACAGUUAUUAGCUAAGGCCUUUGUUCUUCACAAAAACAAAACCAAAGUUUAAUAAAUUCACAUCACCCUACUUCUUAACUUCUUUCCUGCCGAAUGUUGUAUAGAUUCUUUAAGUUAUUAUUGCGAACCCUAUCAUAGUUUUCCAUAGAUUCACCUGCAAGUUACCUGUCCAUUUAAACUUUUGUAAGUUCUAUUGUCCCAUUGAACAAAUACAACAGGUAUUGUUCUCUGUAUAGUUUAUUUGAUGGGACCUUUAAAUUUCUUGCAAGAGAAAUCUAUCACUCAUUGAUUAUUUUACCUGAACAAAAAAUUGAACUGUCAAUGAUAAAAAUACAUGUACAAAUAAUAAAUAAGAACUCCUGCAAAACUGCAUGUGCAUUGUAUUUAUUCAAUAUCAAUAAUACAUUUUUAAUAGUUUCAAUAUAAACACUGAUUCAAAAAUUAAAAGUUGAUUUCUGAUCAAACUUUUGUAUAAUUAACCUUAAGCUUAUAACCUAUAGGAGGGUAAGCUUGUCUAAGGGGGGAUUAGUUUGUUCAUACUUCAGUAUUUAUGAUAGUAAAAUGAAUCUCAGCCAAGUGUGCAUUGCUAUUAUUUAGUUACGUUAGUUUGCAAAAUAAAUUUCUGACAGUCAUUUUCAAGAUUUCAAAAUUAUUCAAAUGCAAAAUUAAAGCGUUUUUUUUUAUAAAUUAAUCAUGUAAUUCUAAAUAUUUUUUU